GUCUACAGCCAUGCCACCCUGAACAAGCCCGAACCUGUCUGAUCUUGUAAGUUAAGCAGAGUCGGGGCUGGUUAGUACUUGGAUGGGAGACCACCUAGGAAGACGAGGUGCCGUAGGCA
This 119-nucleotide ribosomal RNA is filed under the name Pteropus alecto (black flying fox). Lineage: Eukaryota; Metazoa; Chordata; Mammalia; Chiroptera; Pteropodidae. The record is from RNAcentral.